Molecule: ribosomal RNA, 253 nt
Filed under: uncultured bacterium
Lineage: Bacteria
Description: partial 16S ribosomal RNA
Rfam family: Bacterial small subunit ribosomal RNA
Source: RNAcentral
GACGUAGGAGGCGAGCGUUGUCCGGAUUCAUUGGGCGUAAAGAGCACGCAGGCGGUUUGGUAAGUCGGAUGUGAAAACCCGAAGCUCAACUUCGGGAGUGCAUCCGAAACUGCCCGACUAGAGGUAGGUAGGGGAGAUCGGAAUUCCUGGUGUAGCGGUGAAAUGCGCAGAUAUCAGGAGGAACACCGGUGGCGAAGGCGGAUCUCUGGGCCUCACCUGACGCUCAGGUGCGAAAGCUAGGGGAGCGAACAGG